Molecule: ribosomal RNA, 400 nt
Filed under: uncultured bacterium
Lineage: Bacteria
Description: bacterial SSU rRNA
Rfam family: Bacterial small subunit ribosomal RNA
Source: RNAcentral
CUAACACAUGCAAGUCGAACGGCAGCGCGGGGAAGCUUGCUUCCCUGGCGCGAGUGGCGGACGGGUGAGUAAUACGUAGGAAUCUGCCCAGUAGUGGGGACAACCCGGGGAAACUCGGGCUAAUACCGCAUACGUCCUCCUUUCACACGAUGGGAGGGGAAAGCGGGGGACCUUCGGGCCUCGCGCUAUUGGAGGACCUACGGCGGAUUAGCUUGUUGGUAGGGUAACGGCCUACCAAGGCGACGUCCGUAGCUGGUCUGAGAGGACGACCAGCCACACUGGGACCGAGACACGUCCACACUCCUACGGGAGGCAGCACUGGGGAAUAUUGGACAAUGGGCCAAGCCUUAUCCAUGCAUUGGCCGGUGUGGUGAAGAAGGCCUCUCCGGUUCAAAGCAUU